GCGGAGGAAAAGAAACUAACAAGGAUUCCCUUAGUAACGGCGAGUGAAGCGGGAAGAGCUCAAAUUUGAAAUCUUCAAGGUUCUACCUUGACGAAUUGUAGUUUAAAGAAGUGUUUUCUGUUAGAUGAGUAGCAAAAGUUCCUUGGAAUGGGACAUCAUAGAGGGUGAGAAUCCCGUAUUUGGUUAUUCAUUCUAGCUUUGUGAUACACUUUCAAAGAGUCGGAUUGUUUGGGAAUGCAGUCCAAAAUGGGUGGUAAAUUUCAUCUAAAGCUAAAUAUUGGCGAGAGACCGAUAGCGAACAAGUACCGUGAGGGAAAGAUGAAAAGAACUUUGAAAAGAGAGUUAAACAGUACGUGAAAUUGUCAAAAGGGAAGCGUUUGACACCAGUGUUGUUUUUCCGAAAAUCAAUUACGAAUGGCUUGAUUUUGUGUUGUAUUGACCUUAUCAGCUUUCUGCACUUUUUUCGAGUCUUUCUUAAUGCACUUUUCGGUUAACAAGUCAACAUCAAUUUCUUUUGUUGUAAAAGAGUAUUCGGAAGGUGGCUUUCUUUUCGGAGAAAGUGUUUAUAGCCCUAUACUUCUACAAUCGGAGAGAUUGAGGUCUGCAGCGUAGAUCCUUCGGGGUUAGAUACACUUGUGCUAAGUUGUAGCUUUUCAUAGACAACUUGUUGACUAUGUUUAGUCAUGCGGCUUACUCGCUUGUGCUAUUU
This 709-nucleotide ribosomal RNA is filed under the name Neocallimastix frontalis. Its description in RNAcentral is "partial large subunit ribosomal RNA". It matches the Rfam family "Eukaryotic large subunit ribosomal RNA", at positions 50 to 617 of the family's 3401-position model. The record is from RNAcentral. Lineage: Eukaryota; Fungi; Neocallimastigomycota; Neocallimastigomycetes; Neocallimastigales; Neocallimastigaceae.